AAGAUGAGAUUUCCCAUCACUUCAAGUGAGUAAGACCCCUGAGAGAUGAUCAGGUAGAUAGGUUGGGAGUGGAAGUACAGCGAUGUAUGGAGCGGACCAAUACUAAUCGGUCGAGGACUUAACCAAU
Molecule: ribosomal RNA, 127 nt
Filed under: Trichococcus ilyis
Lineage: Bacteria; Bacillati; Bacillota; Bacilli; Lactobacillales; Carnobacteriaceae
Description: 23S rRNA. Bacterial LSU
Rfam family: Bacterial large subunit ribosomal RNA
Source: RNAcentral